RNAcentral lists this transfer RNA (72 nucleotides) under Melampsora larici-populina 98AG31. RNAcentral describes it as "tRNA-Thr (AGT) (tRNA-Thr-AGT-7-1)". It matches the Rfam family "tRNA". Rfam says of the family: Transfer RNA (tRNA) molecules are approximately 80 nucleotides in length. Lineage: Eukaryota; Fungi; Basidiomycota; Pucciniomycetes; Pucciniales; Melampsoraceae. The record is from RNAcentral.
GCGUCUGUAGCCUAGUGGUAAAGGCAGCACUCUAGUACACUGAGGUCAUGGGUUCGAAUACCAUCAGACACA